UGGAUGUCUUCAAGGGUCUCUGGAUU
RNAcentral lists this non-coding RNA (26 nucleotides) under Homo sapiens (human). The record is from RNAcentral. Lineage: Eukaryota; Metazoa; Chordata; Mammalia; Primates; Hominidae.